RNAcentral lists this small RNA (97 nucleotides) under Arabidopsis thaliana (thale cress). RNAcentral describes it as "ATSL105900". Lineage: Eukaryota; Viridiplantae; Streptophyta; Magnoliopsida; Brassicales; Brassicaceae. The record is from RNAcentral.
AACAUAAGACAAAAACCAAAAAAAAAAAAUCCUUUUACGAAUGAGUGAGAUCAUCCACACAAAUUUUGAUGGAAUUCAAAAGAAGACUAAUGUUAAU